This 484-nucleotide ribosomal RNA is filed under the name Anoscopus flavostriatus. Its description in RNAcentral is "partial large subunit ribosomal RNA". The record is from RNAcentral. Lineage: Eukaryota; Metazoa; Arthropoda; Insecta; Hemiptera; Cicadellidae.
CCUGCUCUAUGAUAAGUAUUAAAUGGCUGCAGUAUUUUAACUGUACAAAGGUAGCAUAAUAAAUAGUUUCUUAAUUGGGGGCUUGUAUGAAAGGGUUUAUGAGUUAUAAUUUUUAUUUUAUUUAUUUUUAGAAUUUUAUUUCUAGGUAAAAAAGCUUAGUUUCUUUUUUGGGACGAAAAGACCCUAUAGAACUUAAUUAAUUUAAUUAUUAUUUAUUUUUUGUUUUUUCAUUAAAUUAAUAUUUAUGUUUAUUUGGUUGGGGCGAUUAUUAAGAAUAACAAAACUUUAUUUUUUUAUUUCAUUUAUUUAUGUUUUAUUGAUCCAAUAUUUUUGAUUAAAAGAUUUAGUUACCUUAGGGAUAACAGCGUAAUUUUAAUGGGGAGUUCUUAUUUAUAUUAAAGUUUGCGACCUCGAUGUUGAAUUAAGAUUAGGAUAUGGGGUAGUUUUUAUAAUUUCUAGGUCUGUUCGACCUUUAAUUUCUUAC